CAUCUCUAACCAAACAGUCCCCUUUCAACGUUAACCUUCAACCCAACAACGUUCCUCUCACCUCUCUCUCGUCCACAUCGCCGCCACGCCACCUCCCAUCACGUCACCUCACCACCACCACGCCCAUAUCCCACAAAAUCCGCUACCUACACCCCUCUUCUCCUUUCUCACACUCCAUCUCUGAAGCUUGCAGGCUCCAUGUGCGAUUUCAGCGGAUUUCAUGCUCUUCAAGAGGAUUCGGAGACUCGACGACGAUAGUAGCCUCAGUUCGCUGUCACAAAGAAGGUAAUCGCAUUCGUCCUAUCUUCGUCUUUAAUUUAGUAGAAGUGGAAAUGUAGUCGUUCAAGUAUUUCUUGUCGUUUAUUUGGUUUAGUUGGCUGCUGGAAUAUGUAUUCUCCUCGUUUGUUAUAAAAUAGCGUAAAAACAACUAAUUUCGUCGAAUAUGUGUUUAACUCCCAUCGCCCCGUCGCUGCUCGGGAAAAAGGCAACAUUCAUCUCCUCUUUCAUUUCCUGUUCACUGUUUUAGGCUUAGGAAAUGUUUAUUAAUUAUUUGGUUGUUUGCUGGUUUAGUUGGAAGUAAUUAAUUAAAUUUAUGUGAUUAGUUGGUCGUCGUCAUUAGCUUGCCGCUAUUAUUAGUUUGAUUGUCACUAUCAAUAACGUCUUUAUUGUGUUGUCAACUUGUUAAUGCUGAUCAGCUUUAAAUAGGCUUUUAACUCUUUGUUUAGUUUCAACAAAUCUGUUGUAGGCUAAGCUUUAUUUGAAUCAUAUCUUCAAACCUCUUCCCUCACUUUUUAGUCCUGUUUUCAGCCUGUUGUUGUUAGAUAUCUACAGCUCAUUUUGUGUUUCUCUCUAUAGGUCGUCUUACAGUCCAAAAAUGUAGGAAUUAACCUAAAUUAGUAAUCUUUGUUAUUUUAGCAUAUCGUUACAUCUGUCCAUUAGAGUCUAGUUAUCAGUUUGGGGCUAACUAUUUCAUUAUAAGUGAAUCAGGUUACUAGUUUAGUAAUUUUCCUCUUCUUUCCAUUUCUUUCAAUUCUACUUUUCUAUACUUGCUUUAGCAUGUUUAACAUUGGGAUUCCUGUUUGUUUGGAUUCAAUUGUAGUUAGCAAAGCUGUUGUCAUGGCUGUUUCUGCAGUUACUAGUGUUGCUUAAUUAUUUGAUCUUAGAAAUCAUGAUCUGCACUUUGGAAUAACAGAGGUCAUGGAUCAGUAGGACCCAAAGUUAAGUAAGUCCAAAGUUAACUGAUUGCCUGUUUGAUUGAUCAUUGAGAAAAGAAAAAAUAUGCUUUGUUGAGUUAUAAUGUAUCCUUGUUUCUCUUUAAGGAUGUGGGAAAGCAAUUUGGUAGAGCUCAUUGUAUGGUUAAUUUUAGCACUGUCCACUCCCAUCUUAAAUUCAACUUGUGUUUCAAGUUCAUUCCAAGCAAUGGAUAGGUUCAAUCAUUAGUUUAGUAAUUUUCCUUUUGGUUUAAUGUUCUAUGGAGUUCUUCCUAUUUUCAAGGUUAUGUGGCUUAGCUUUGGUUUUAGUAUAGUCUGAAUAAGAAAUAUUAGUCUAUCUAAUUCUUUAAAUGUUUAAACUAGGAGUAGAGAACUGCAUUUCCUAGCGUGUUGGAUCAGUUCAAAAAAUAGAAGGCAAUGGUUAACUUGUACUCAGAUUUCAAUUCAUUUCAAAGUAAUAGCUUUGGUUUUCUCUAGAUUUUCCCUUUUUUUAAGUCAAUAACCCCUUUUGUAGUAAUCUGCUUUUAUUUUCUAGAAUCAGUUCUUUCUCAUGCAUGUUAAGUGUUUUUAAACUAAAAGCCGUUUUAGAAUAUAUUUUUUUAGGUCCAAAAGUGUUCUUUCUAUUCUCAAAGAGAUGCCUAUGUUGAACCAGAGAUAUUUUUGUUUUGACCUUAACGAGAUUUUACUUCAAAUCUCACUCCCAGGCCCUUUCUCUUUGAAAUCUGAGCUUUAAAUCUUUCACAUAUUUGUCUUCAAACUCAAUAAAGUAUUUUCAAAUAGUUGCCGUUCUAUCUAACCUUGUUUCUUCACAUUUCAUGGGUAGUUCAUGAUUUUCCCAUAACGAAUUUGCUACAAGAAACUUAUUAUCAUUGCUACUUGAAUUGAGUGGAAUACAUGUGUGAAGUAUUGUUGAUUGUAGUUCAGCCUAUUUACUUAAUUGUAUGGUAUAAAAUGUGCAAGAUAUGUCAUUUUGUUUGGUAUGGCUGUUAGCUUAUGUGACUCUCCAGAACAUAAACCAUCAGUCAUCUUCCCUCUCUACUUCCAAACUUCUGAUUCGUUUCAUUGAACCAAGGUUUUUUUUAGAACUAAUCUUUAGCAACGUGGAUAUGGAGUAGUUAGUUUACUGUUUAUUUCUUGUUCGAUAAGCUGGUGUCUAAACUCUUUUAAAGGAUUCUCUACUGUAAAAGAUUAGUGAAUCUGUCAUAACUUAAGAUCCAUUAGAAUCACAUUUUCUUGAAAUCUUUUUUCCCUUUUUCAGAACUAUUAGAGAUUAACUGGUAAACCUGGAAAUCCUUGAUAAUAGAACUAGUUCAAUUACACCUUCAGUUUUGAAUUCUUCCAUGAAAAGAUAGUUAGUUGUCGUCAUGUAACAUUUAAAUUCCUAUCUUACAUAGAUUCUUUUUUUUCUCCCUUUUAAAACAGUUAUGAGUUAAUUACCUUAAAUGUUCUAGGAAGAAUGCUAGUUGUUGGUUCAGGUGGGAGUUGAUCACUUUUAGUAUGAUUUUUAAAUUUGAGGCAUGACCUGCGAAUAGUGGUAUUUAACGAACUAAAGAGAAGUGAGAAUGCCAACUUUCUUCUUCGAGGCUUAAACCUGUUUUUCUUGGUGGCUUCAAAUGAUAGAGCAUGACAUUGGUAGCGACUUAGAGAUCAUAUCUAUAGGUCUAAAUAGCCUAUGUUCAAUCUGAAACAGGACCCUUUUGUUCACAUUUGUACAAGUCAAUAACUAGGAUCAUUUUUUUUAGUUGGUUCAGAUCUUUUAUGAUGAUGUCACGAAGUUCUGAAGUUUGUUAAUGCUCAUGUGCAGUGGGUAUUUUCAAAUCUCCCAGGAUAUUUAUUAUAAAAAAGAAAUGUUUGAAGAAGUGUCCUUCCUUUACAUCUUAGAAAAAUAAAAGCACUUCCUUGUGAGAGUAUUUUCUUUACUUCUAACUAGUACUUUCCUUCCUGUCAUAAUUUUCUUAACUCUAAUUCUUACUAUAAUCAGAUACCAUAUGAAAUGAACAUGUUAGCUUAGUUUGAUCCUAUACAUAGAUUCUGUCUACAUGAUAUUUGUGAAGAUUUAUUAAAGUAUAUAGUUAUAUAGAUUUUUCUAGCUUAUUAAUUUUAGUUUGAAUGUCGCUUUGGAAAUACAGAUUCGACUAAAUCCAUAACUGGCUGCAAAAAAAAAAUAUUUCUAUACUAAGAAUAUAACCCACAAAUACUACGUUCUCUCGUUGUGCCUAAUUCGAACGUCAUUAUUUUGGUGCAUAACUUCGCUGCAUAAGCUCAUUGCAUUCUAUGACAUACAUAGCGGCAUUUUUGUCUUACAUGGGGAAAUAGUUGUUUUUUUUCUUUUUCUUUCCUUUCUGCUUUCAGUCCCUUUAAGUGGAAAUCUGAAAAUAUUGAUCCUUGUUUAAGUAUUGAUGGCAUCAUUAGAAAAUAAUUGAACCACUCUGUCUAUAAGAUGAUAUUUUUUCUUUAUUUACGAAAUCUGAUCUUUGGGACUGAUUUUGAUUAAGUUAAAGAUGAAGUGUUUAAACAAUGUGACUCGACAAGUUCUCUUCAAGCAAGAAAUAAACUCCCAGAUUUCAAAUUUAAAGAGUUAAUCUUCAUCUUCCUUCGACAUGGCGCAGUUACAGCUUACCGAGGACAUGACCUUAGAUAGGAGGGUUUGGAGGACCCAUAUUAGGGUAGAAGGCUAGUAGAUAGUCUCAUUACCCUGCCUUAUUAAUAGUCGCAUUAUCGUAGUAUAAUUUCUUGUGCUCUAAUUUAUGCUAUUAUGCUAUUAUCUGUUAUUUCCUGUGCUUUGAUUAUUCUAUGUUAUCUGUGUCGCUUGCGUUACUUCAUUUCCAUAUCGCUUUGAAUCUCUUAGCCGUAUCUGACCUCUUUUUAUGUUUUUAUUGAGUCGAGGGUCUCUCGGAAACAGCCAUCCUACCUUGGUAGGAGUAAGGUCUGCGUACACUCUACCCUCCCCAGACCCCACGUUGUGGGAUUUCACUGGGUUGUUGUUGUUGUUGUUGUUGUAAUCUUCAUCUUCCUUGGUUUAUGGUUUUUGGGAUCUAGUCAUAUUAGGGACUGUUCUGAAACUUGGCUUUCUAGUCAUUUUAAACUGUUUGUAAAAUUUAAACCAAAGCAUGAUAUUUUAAGGCAAGCAAGAUGCUGCAUCUUGAGCCAAAAUGCUGCUGCGCGUUAAGGCAACAAAUGUCACAUUUGAUGAAAAUGCUCGCUCCUAUAUGUUGUUUUGGGCUGAGAAGAGCAAAAUGUGAUCCUAGAGUUUCUGGUGUCCGUUGUUUGUUGUCUCACUAAAGGCUGCUGUUCUCAAAGAGCAGUUGCUACACUCGAGAAAAUGGUUUCUGCCCAUUUUUUGUUUGAUGCACUUUGAGCUGUUGCUGCACUAGGAAGAACAAAUACUACAUUUUGAUAUGUUUGUUGCUGCAUUUAUAAAACAGAAACUGAAACUACACUUUGGCUGUUGUAUUAGUUGGUUAUUGUUGUGAUUUUUAGCCAAGUUUUGGGCAGCUUUAAGGCUCAUUAGCUGUUGCUGUUUGGGCUGGCUGAUCUCUUUAUUUCGAGACCAUUGCUGGUGCAUUUUUUAGGUCAGUUUUGAGGCCAUAAUUGCUGCAUUUUGCUCGAAGUUUUGAGGCCAUUGCUGGUGCAUUCAACUCAGUUUAGAGGCCAUCAUCCCACGGCUGCUGCAUCUUUGGCUUCAGCAUUUGUUGUCUUGAAACUGUUUUAGAGCAGCUUGCUAGCACUUUUGGUAUCUUGCUGAAAAUAUUUGAACAAACUGUUUUAGAGCAGCUUGCCAGUACUGUUGUCUUGAUUCUUUUAUCUAGCUCUCAUUAAUUAAAGUUAUAUAGAUUCCUUUUUCCUUGUUGAGAAUUGUUUCUAAUCCUUAUCUUUAUUUUUUCUUUUUUCACGAGGAACCUUGGGAGUAUUUGGAGUUAUGGCAACUCCGGAUUCUACCCAUAUCAGAGAACAGCCAGUUGUAGGAUUUAAUUGCUCGUGUCUAGCGUCCCCGUCUUCCUUCCUCUCUUUAAAUUUCGUGUCUUCGUGUUAUCAUAUAUAUACAUGUUUAUAUUCUUGACUAACAUUUUUAUGGAUUGUAUUUGUAGCACAUUUGUUUCUCGCUUGUGUAGGAACUUAUGGAAAAAUAGUUAAGUAUGAUGGUAAAUUUAGUCACUACUUUUCCUCUCCCCUUGGAUAAUUAAUCUUGGCUUAGGUGUGUUAGAAAUGAAAA
Molecule: long non-coding RNA, 5424 nt
Organism: Lycium barbarum (goji berry)
Lineage: Eukaryota; Viridiplantae; Streptophyta; Magnoliopsida; Solanales; Solanaceae
Exons: 2
Source: RefSeq, a predicted model, not a curated record